This 154-nucleotide unclassified non-coding RNA is filed under the name sea anemone metagenome. RNAcentral describes it as "partial contains small subunit ribosomal RNA and internal transcribed spacer 1". It matches the Rfam family "Eukaryotic small subunit ribosomal RNA", at positions 1678 to 1825 of the family's 1831-position model. The record is from RNAcentral.
GCCACUACCGAUUGAAUGGUUUAGUGAGGACUCCUGAUUGGCGCCGCCGCCCCGGCAACGGAGCAGCGGACUGCCGAAAAGUUGUUCAAACUUGAUCAUUUAGAGGAAGUAAAAGUCGUAACAAGGUUUCCGUAGGUGAACCUGCAGAAGGACA